ACAGAGGUGGCGAGCGUUACUCGGAUUUAUUGGGUGUAAAGGGCAAGUAGGCGUCUCAACAAGUUAGAAGUGAAAUCCUGCAGCUCAACUGCAGAACUGCUUUUAAAACUGUUGGGAUUGAGACUGGAAGAGGAAAGCGGAAUUCUCGGUGUAAGAGUGAAAUCUGUAGAUAUCGAGAGGAACACCAGUGGCGAAGGCGGCUUUCUGGUCCAGUACUGACGCUGAAUUGCGAAAGCUAGGGGAGCAAACAGGAUUAGAUACCCUGGUAGUCCUAGCCGUAAACUAUGAGCACUAGGUGUUGGGGGUUUACCUUCAGCGCCGUAAGGUAACACGUUAAGUGCUCCACCUGGGGACUACGACCGCAAGGUUA
This 370-nucleotide ribosomal RNA is filed under the name uncultured bacterium. RNAcentral's name for it is "bacterial SSU rRNA". It matches the Rfam family "Bacterial small subunit ribosomal RNA", at positions 525 to 896 of the family's 1533-position model. The record is from RNAcentral.